GAAAAGCAGAGUUGGUCCUUGAAAUAAAGGCCCCUGGGAGAGGGGAUUCUAGCAAGGCAGUCACAUUGAAAGAAUUCACAAUUCCCACAGAUAUAUUGAUCCUUGUGAUUAUUAGUACACACACACACACACACACACACGCACACAUCCCACACACCCCCACCCCAUACACACACACACACACACACACACACACACACACACAGGCUUCAUCCUGAACAGAUACGAUGUACAGAGCAUCGCACUGGCUGGCCCAUAGGGUUCUUGUGGGAGAGGCCAGGCCUCUGUGACCAUGAAAGGGGUUGCAACUGAUACAGUCAGGGAGGGAUCCCAGGAAGGGGAGUGAUUCCCUUAAAUUUGCUUGUUGAAACCCGUAUCUGGCAGGGGAAAGGAGGAUCCGGUGCAGAGCUUGGAUUCAGCAGAGGUGGCUGUUGAUGUGACCAGUCCCCCUGUUUGGGUGGGAAGGCCCUGAAUGACACAUGCAGCAAGCUUUCAGCCUCGGAGGGCAGUACAUCCUAAAGUGAAUCACCAACUUAAUUAUUCCUCUGCAAAUUACCAUCAGUGAUACGAGAUUCAACGACAAGGAGCUGUGAGAGCGCACAGGAAGGGAGCUCAUUUCUGGGGCUUUACCCCAUAAAGACAAAGAAACUGGCUGAGGAGACAAGAGAAAGAAAGUAGCAGAAGAUGGGAAGGAAACAGACGGAGUCUCACUUGUGUUGCCAAGAGAGCUUGAGCAUCAACUGGCAGUGAGGAUGGCAGGAAAGCAACUGACUUAUCCCCUCUCACCAGACCUUCCAACUGUCUGCAACACUGGCAUUGCCACGUAUCCCGGCACGUUGUUGAUCCCAUUGUGGCAUUGUGGUCAGAGAAUAUACAAAUCGCUGAAGAAUCCAUUGUUUAUGGACAUUCCUGGGAUAGUAUUCAUUUAAAUAUCUCUAUGUACACUGUAAUGGAAUAUAAUACAAAAAUGGAGUUGCACGCAAAAUGAGGGUACCACUC
Molecule: long non-coding RNA, 999 nt
Filed under: Homo sapiens (human)
Lineage: Eukaryota; Metazoa; Chordata; Mammalia; Primates; Hominidae
Description: HSALNT0407601
Source: RNAcentral